Molecule: transfer RNA, 67 nt
Filed under: Curculionoidea sp. 24 KM-2017
Lineage: Eukaryota; Metazoa; Arthropoda; Insecta; Coleoptera
Description: tRNA-Ile
Source: RNAcentral
GAUGAGAUGCCUGAUUUUAAAAGGUUUAUCUUGAUAGGAUAAUUCAUGUGUAUAUUCACUCUCAUUA